CCUCCCGGGCGUCCGGGGGAGGAGGGGAGCAUGAAGCGCUUUUGCGGGACCGGACCGAUCGUCGAGGCGGCCGAUCGUUGCGGCCUGGGGGGC
Molecule: transfer RNA, 93 nt
Filed under: Fundidesulfovibrio magnetotacticus
Lineage: Bacteria; Pseudomonadati; Thermodesulfobacteriota; Desulfovibrionia; Desulfovibrionales; Desulfovibrionaceae
Description: tRNA-Phe
Source: RNAcentral